AUUGAACGCUGGCGGCAUGCCUUGCACAUGCAAGUCGAACGGCAGCACGGGUGCUUGCCCCUGGUGGCGAGUGGCGAACGGGUGAGUAAUACAUCGGAACAUGUCCUGUAGUGGGGGAUAGCCCGGCGAAAGCCGGAUUAAUACCGCAUACGAUCUACGGAUGAAAGCGGGGGACCUUCGGGCCUCGCGCUAUAGGGUUGGCCGAUGGCUGAUUAGCUAGUUGGUGGGGUAAAGGCCUACCAAGGCGACGAUCAGUAGCUGGUCUGAGAGGACGACCAGCCACACUGGGACUGAGACACGGCCCAGACUCCUACGGGAGGCAGCAGUGGGGAAUUUUGGACAAUGGGCGAAAGCCUGAUCCAGCAAUGCCGCGUGUGUGAAGAAGGCCUUCGGGUUGUAAAGCACUUUUGUCCGGAAAGAAAUCCUUGGCCCUAAUACGGUCGGGGGAUGACGGUACCGGAAGAAUAAGCACCGGCUAACUACGUG
RNAcentral lists this ribosomal RNA (486 nucleotides) under uncultured bacterium. RNAcentral describes it as "partial 16S ribosomal RNA". It matches the Rfam family "Bacterial small subunit ribosomal RNA", at positions 30 to 507 of the family's 1533-position model. The record is from RNAcentral.